CUCCCCGAAAGCUAUUUAGGUAGCGCCUCGUGAAUUCAUCUCCGGGGGUAGAGCACUGUUUCGGCUAGGGGGCCAUCCCGGCUUACCAACCCGAUGCAAACUGCGAAUACCGGAGAAUGUUAUCACGGGAGACACACGGCGGGUGCUAACGUCCGUCGUGAAGAGGGAAACAACCCAGACCGCCAGCUAAGGUCCCAAAGUCAUGGUUAAGUGGGAAACGAUGUGGGAAGGCCCAGACAGCCAGGAUGUUGGCUUAGAAGCAGCCAUCAUUUAAAGAAAGCGUAAUAGCUCACUGGUCGAGUCGGCCUGCGCGGAAGAUGUAACGGGGCUAAACCAU
Molecule: ribosomal RNA, 337 nt
Filed under: Salmonella enterica subsp. enterica serovar Heidelberg
Lineage: Bacteria; Pseudomonadati; Pseudomonadota; Gammaproteobacteria; Enterobacterales; Enterobacteriaceae
Also listed under: 4 other names
Description: partial 23S ribosomal RNA
Rfam family: Bacterial large subunit ribosomal RNA
Source: RNAcentral